AACGAACGCUGGCGGCAGGCCUAACACAUGCAAGUCGAACGCUCGUAGCAAUACGGGAGUGGCAGACGGGUGAGUAACACGUGGGAACCUUCCCUAUGGUUCGGAAUAGCUCAGGGAAACUUGGGGGUAAUACCGGAUAAGCCCUUCGGGGGAAAGAUUUAUCGCCAUUGGAUGGGCCCGCGUCGGAUUAGCUAGUUGGUGAGGUAACGGCUCACCAAGGCGACGAUCGGUAGCUGGUCUGAGAGGACGACCAGCCACACUGGGACUGAGACACGGCCCAGACUCCUACGGGGAGGCAGCAGUGGGGAAUAUUGGACAAUGGGCGCAAGGCCUGAUCCAGCGAUCGCCGCGUGUAGAAGAAGGCCUGCGGGUUGUAAAGCUACUUUCAGUAAGGGAACGAAAACCGAGNGCUAAUAUCACUCGGUCUUGUACGUUACUUACAGAAGAAGCACCGGCUAACCU
This 462-nucleotide ribosomal RNA is filed under the name uncultured bacterium. RNAcentral describes it as "bacterial SSU rRNA". It matches the Rfam family "Bacterial small subunit ribosomal RNA", at positions 29 to 503 of the family's 1533-position model. The record is from RNAcentral.